AUGCGACAGUAUAUGUACACGUGUGGAGCACUGAGCGGCAUGGUAACCGGCAUGCAAUUAUUGGCAUCCGCGAGUGGCGCACUUCGAUCGCCAUUAAAGGCUAUUAGCAAUGGUGAUUUAUUUCCGCAAACUCUGCACUCAACUGAAGGGAUGGUUCGUUGCCCCCAUCCCAUGAAUGUCAGACCACCGCGUGGCGCCCUCCCCGCCCUGGACCCAUCGAGGCACCAACACAUGAUUUGCCGCCAUGAGAGAGGACCGAAGUCGGGGAGGAGCGACCGAUUCCGUAGAGAGGUAGAACCCAGCAAGCCCAAGUCAGCACAGCCCAAUGCUAAGCAGGCCAUAUUAACAAGAAACGUCAGAUUUUGUUAUGGGAGCAGCAGCCCAAUCCAGCACGCUCCACCCAUGCGGGAUUAG
This 414-nucleotide ribosomal RNA is filed under the name Triticum aestivum (bread wheat). RNAcentral's name for it is "partial small subunit ribosomal RNA". Lineage: Eukaryota; Viridiplantae; Streptophyta; Magnoliopsida; Poales; Poaceae. The record is from RNAcentral.